CAGAGUUAUCUAAACUCCCAAACCCAUGUGAACUUUACCUAUGUUGCCUCGGCAGGACCUACCCGGUACUUACCCGGUAGCUACCCUGUAGUUACCCUGUAUCCUCUGGGUAGCCUGCCAGAGGACCCUUUAAACUCUUGUUUUAUUGUGGCACUCUGAGUUAUUAAAACUAAAUAAGUUA
Molecule: unclassified non-coding RNA, 181 nt
Filed under: uncultured Lopadostoma
Lineage: Eukaryota; Fungi; Ascomycota; Sordariomycetes; Xylariales; Xylariaceae
Description: sequence contains ITS1
Source: RNAcentral